AGUGAACGCUGGCGGUAGGCCUAACACAUGCAAGUCGAACGGCAGCACAGUAAGAGCUUGCUCUUACGGGUGGCGAGUGGCGGACGGGUGAGGAAUACAUCGGAAUCUACUUUUUCGUGGGGGAUAACGUAGGGAAACUUACGCUAAUACCGCAUACGACCUACGGGUGAAAGCAGGGGAUCUUCGGACCUUGCGCGAUUGAAUGAGCCGAUGUCGGAUUAGCUAGUUGGCGGGGUAAAGGGCCACCAAGGCGACGAUCCGUAGCUGGUCUGAGAGGAUGAUCAGCCACACUGGAACUGAGACACGGUCCAGACUCCUACGGGAGGCAGCAGUGGGGAAUAUUGGACAAUGGGCGCAAGCCUGAUCCAGCCAUACCGCGUGGGUGAAGAAGGCCUUCGGGUUGUAAAGCCCUUUUGUUGGGAAAGAAAAGCAGCAGGUUAAUACCCCGCUGUUCUGACGGUACCCAAAGAAUAAGCACCGGCUAACUUCGUG
Molecule: ribosomal RNA, 492 nt
Filed under: uncultured bacterium
Lineage: Bacteria
Description: partial 16S ribosomal RNA
Rfam family: Bacterial small subunit ribosomal RNA
Source: RNAcentral